This 179-nucleotide ribosomal RNA is filed under the name uncultured bacterium. RNAcentral's name for it is "partial 16S ribosomal RNA". It matches the Rfam family "Bacterial small subunit ribosomal RNA", at positions 309 to 507 of the family's 1533-position model. The record is from RNAcentral.
CCUACSGGAGGCARCASUGCGGAAUCCUACGSGAGGCAGCAGUGSGGAAUAUUGCACAAUGGGGGAAACCMUGAUGCACGCGACGCCGCGUGAGUGAAGAAGUAYUUCGGUAUGUAAAGCUCUAUCAGCAGGGACGAUAAUGACGGUACCUGAAUAAGAAGCCCCGGCUAACUACAGUG